Molecule: long non-coding RNA, 654 nt
Filed under: Vulpes vulpes (red fox)
Lineage: Eukaryota; Metazoa; Chordata; Mammalia; Carnivora; Canidae
Description: lncRNA (ENSVVUG00000013052.1)
Source: RNAcentral
GAAGAAUAGCACCACUGAAGGAGCCCAACUGUGAUUCCGUUUUCAUGCAAAGAGUCAAAGUCAAAGUUAAAAAAAAAGGAACAAAAUCCCUUAACAUGAAGGUCUUGUAUCUCUCACCAGACUCCAACCAGCAGGACUGGAUAAUGAGAACUUCACACCAUGUUGUACCACACUGUCUGGAUGACCACAGCUUUGUAGUACAACCUGAAAUCUGGCGUUGUGAUGCCAAGGCGCAACGGAAUACACAAGGAUCCUCACCUCCCGAUCUCCUGAUUCUUCCAAAUACACAGAUCAUUGGAUGAAACAAAUUAGUAUUGACACCAAGUAAAGCUGACAAUAGCACUGAACUCACAACUCCCUUCCAGUGUAUUUCUUGUCUUCCCCAAUUUGUGGCUCAUCUAUUUACAACUUAAAGAGCUGCGAAGGAUAUUGAUGACAACACAAGGAGUGUGGAACAGAUGGACCAAGGGGCUCCAGCUCAACUCUGGAGAAUGAUUGUUGGAGUUAGCAGGCUGUAAAGCCACUGGCCCCAUCUGGAUUUAUGGGAACAGGAUGUGUAGCCUAACAGAGCUAGCUUCAGCCUCACUUAACCAUAGGCACCAAGAUCUUAGCUCCAUGUAUCAACUGAGUCUCCUGGAAGAUUUGGGAAAGAUG